RNAcentral lists this ribosomal RNA (500 nucleotides) under uncultured bacterium. RNAcentral's name for it is "partial 16S ribosomal RNA". It matches the Rfam family "Bacterial small subunit ribosomal RNA", at positions 355 to 863 of the family's 1533-position model. The record is from RNAcentral.
UGGGGAAUAUUGCACAAUGGGCGCAAGCCUGAUGCAGCAACGCCGCGUGAGGGAUGACGGCCUUCGGGUUGUAAACCUCUUUUAGCAGGGAAGAAGCGAAAGUGACGGUACCUGCAGAAAAAAGCACCGGCUAACUACGUGCCAGCAGCCGCGGUAAUACGUAGGGUGCAAGCGUUGUCCGGAAUUAUUGGGCGUAAAGAGCUCGUAGGCGGUCUGUCGCGUCUGCUGUGAAAUCCCCGAGGCUCAACCUCGGGCCUGCAGUGGGUACGGGCAGACUAGAGUGCGGUAGGGGAGAAUGGAACUCCUGGUGUAGCGGUGGAAUGCGCAGAUAUCAGGAAGAACACCGAUGGCGAAGGCAGUUCUCUGGGCCGUAACUGACGCUGAGGAGCGAAAGCGUGGGGAGCGAACAGGAUUAGAUACCCUGGUAGUCCACGCCGUAAACGUUGGGCGCUAGAUGUGGGGACCAUUCCACGGUUUCCGUGUCGCAGCUAACGCAUUAA